Molecule: ribosomal RNA, 275 nt
Filed under: uncultured bacterium
Lineage: Bacteria
Description: partial 16S ribosomal RNA
Rfam family: Bacterial small subunit ribosomal RNA
Source: RNAcentral
AGAGUUUAAUCAUGGCUCAGGAUGAACGCUAGCGACAGGCUUAACACAUGCAAGUCGAGGGGCAGCGGGGAGUAGCAAUACUUCGCCGGCGACCGGCGCACGGGUGAGUAACACGUGUGCAACCAACCCCGUACCGGGAGAUAACCCGCGGAAACGUGGACUAACAUCCCAUAAUACUGGAGGAUCGAAUGAUCUUUCAUUUAAAAUUCCGGUGGUACGGGACGGGCACGCGCGACAUUAGGUAGUUGGCGGGGUAAGGGCCCACCAAGCCGACG